AACGAACGCUGGCGGCAUGCCUAACACAUGCAAGUCGAACGAGACCUUCGGGUCUAGUGGCGCACGGGUGCGUAACGCGUGGGAACCUUCCCUUAGGUUCGGAAUAACUCCCCGAAAGGGGUGCUAAUACCGGAUAAUGUCUUCGGACCAAAGAUUUAUCGCCGUUGGAUGGGCCCGCGUUGGAUUAGCUGGUUGGUAGGGUAAAAGCCUACCAAGCCGACGAUCCCUAGCUGGUCUGAGAGGAUGAUCAGCCACACUGGGACUGAGACACGGCCCAGAAUCCUACGGGAGGGAGGAGUGGGUAAGAGGGGAAAAGGGGGGAAAGGAUGAAGGAGAAAGGCUGGGAGAGCGAUGAAGUUAGGGGGGAAGAAAAGUGUUUGUACCUGGGAAGAUAAUGACGGUACCGAAAGAAAAAGCCACGGCUAACUCCGUG
RNAcentral lists this ribosomal RNA (433 nucleotides) under uncultured bacterium. RNAcentral's name for it is "partial 16S ribosomal RNA". It matches the Rfam family "Bacterial small subunit ribosomal RNA", at positions 29 to 507 of the family's 1533-position model. The record is from RNAcentral.